GGCGUUGGCGGAACAUGUUACAUCGAGCACACUCUUAAUCAAUUCAAACACCUAGGUCUGAACCACCAACGUGCCACUAAACUUGCUCCUAGUCUGAAUGCCCAUUCUGCUAUUUACGCUCACAAACUUGUUACCACCAGACGUGCCAUUGCAAACAAUGUUACUUCCCACAGCCAGGUUCUAGGGCCUUGUGCCUCUAGAAACCCGCCUGAUCCCCAUUAAUUUUUUUUCCUUCUCUCCUUGUGGUGGGGGAGACUCACGGCUCCUCAGAGCCAAUGUGUCUCCUUUUCCUUAAUUGAUGUAGGGGGAGUUUCUCCGCCUACG
RNAcentral lists this long non-coding RNA (324 nucleotides) under Dunaliella salina. Its description in RNAcentral is "long non-coding RNA (DSAL_LNC000373)". Lineage: Eukaryota; Viridiplantae; Chlorophyta; Chlorophyceae; Chlamydomonadales; Dunaliellaceae. The record is from RNAcentral.